Chinchilla lanigera (long-tailed chinchilla) is the source of this 752-nucleotide long non-coding RNA. RefSeq lists it as uncharacterized. Lineage: Eukaryota; Metazoa; Chordata; Mammalia; Rodentia; Chinchillidae. The record is from RefSeq and is a predicted model, not a curated record. The transcript has 2 exons.
UCCUCCCUCCCUUUGGUGGGCAAGAAUACAAGUCGGUGGAUUUUAGGGAGCCAGCUGAAGCCUGCUGGGCCUCCCCUGGCGGUGCAGGGUCUGUGUGUUUGGACUAAGGGGCAAGAAUGGUUCGGUCCAAUCCUGACUGGGGAGAUUGUUUUUGCAGGUUUUCGGUUUUUUUUUUGUUUUGUUUUGUUUUUUGUUUGUUUUUUUCCUCUUUAUCUGGCAUUGCUUUUUGAAAGCCCAGGUGUGAGUGUUUGCGAGACAGUAAGAGUGCAUAGGACUGAGCCUGAUAUGAUGAAUAAGUUGAAUAUACGCCUGAACACGGAGGCAUAUCCAACCAAAGGUCACAUCACAGGGAGAUAUGCAUCAACUAAGAGAUUUCUACAACAGUGACAGAGCUUUCUGCACUAAUUGAUCUACAGCCUCAACACAAACACAGUAGAAAUGUGAGAAAACAAGACAACAGGAUAUCUACAAAACACUUUAAUUCUAACAGAAAUGCUUCUCUCAUGUGCACUGGAGGGGAGAAAUUUUCAGACAAAAACCUCCAAAAGAAAAUGUUGAAAGUGUUUGAAGAGAUGAAAGAAGAGAUAAGUAGAUGCGUGAAGCAAUUACUAAGCUGUUCAGUGAGCUCAUAGAAGAUGAGUGAGAUUUAAAAAGGCACCUGAACAAAUUAAGGACUAACAGGCACCUGAACAAAUUAAGGAUGACAAUGCAUGAUGUAACACCUUUAGUAAAGAAUUAGAGAUUAGAGGAAU